UGGGUUGGCCAGAAAGUUCGUUCAGGUUUUUCAUACAUUAUGGAAAAACUCGAACGAACUUUUUGGCCAGCCCAAU
This 76-nucleotide microRNA precursor is filed under the name Tursiops truncatus (common bottlenose dolphin). RNAcentral describes it as "miRNA (ENSTTRG00000025000.1)". The record is from RNAcentral. Lineage: Eukaryota; Metazoa; Chordata; Mammalia; Artiodactyla; Delphinidae.